AGAGUGAACGCUGGCGGUAGGCCUAACACAUGCAAGUCGAACGGCAGCACAGUGGUAGCAAUACCAUGGGUGGCGAGUGGCGGACGGGUGAGGAAUACAUCGGAAUCUACCUUUUCGUGGGGGAUAACGUAGGGAAACUUACGCUAAUACCGCAUACGCCCUUCGGGGGAAAGCCGGGGAUCGCAAGACCUGGCGCGGAUAGAUGAGCCGAUGUCGGAUUAGCUAGUUGGUGAGGUAAUGGCUCACCAAGGCGACGAUCCGUAGCUGGUCUGAGAGGAUGAUCAGCCACACUGGAACUGAAGACACGGUCCAGACUCCUACGGGGAGCAGCAGGUGGGGAAUAGUUGGAACAAGU
Molecule: ribosomal RNA, 355 nt
Filed under: uncultured soil bacterium
Lineage: Bacteria
Description: bacterial SSU rRNA
Rfam family: Bacterial small subunit ribosomal RNA
Source: RNAcentral